Molecule: non-coding RNA, 72 nt
Organism: Cricetulus griseus (Chinese hamster)
Lineage: Eukaryota; Metazoa; Chordata; Mammalia; Rodentia; Cricetidae
Source: Rfam
AGUCAAGUGGUUUAGUGGAAAGAACAUUGCAUUAAAAGGCAACAGGCCUGGGUUUUUUCUCCAGCUUCACUA